RNAcentral lists this ribosomal RNA (255 nucleotides) under uncultured bacterium. RNAcentral describes it as "partial 16S ribosomal RNA". It matches the Rfam family "Bacterial small subunit ribosomal RNA", at positions 338 to 585 of the family's 1533-position model. The record is from RNAcentral.
CCUACGGGGCGCAGCAGUAGGGAAUCUUCCACAAUGGGCGAAAGCCUGAUGGAGCAACGCCGCGUGGGUGAAGAAGGUCUUCGGAUCGUAAAACCCUGUUGUUAGAGAAGAAAGAGCGUGAGAGUAACUGUUCACGUUUCGACGGUAUGUAAACAGAAAGCCACGGCUAACUACGUGCCAGGAGCCGCGGUAAUACGUAGGUGGCAAGCGUUGUUCGGAUUGAUUGGGCGUAAAGGGAACGCAGGCGGUCUUUUA